RNAcentral lists this ribosomal RNA (460 nucleotides) under uncultured bacterium. RNAcentral's name for it is "partial 16S ribosomal RNA". It matches the Rfam family "Bacterial small subunit ribosomal RNA", at positions 338 to 795 of the family's 1533-position model. The record is from RNAcentral.
CCUACGGGAGGCAGCAGUGAGGAAUAUUGGUCAAUGGACGAGAGUCUGAACCAGCCAAGCAGCGUGAAGGAUGACUGCCCUAUGGGUUGUAAACUUCUUUUAUAUGGGAAUAAAACAGGGUAUGCAUACCCUCUUGUAUGUACCAUAUGAAUAAGGAUCGGCUAACUCCGUGCCAGCAGCCGCGGUAAUACGGAGGAUCCGAGCGUUAUCCGGAUUUAUUGGGUGUAAAGGGAGCGUAGGUGGAUUGUUAAGUCAGUUGUGAAAGUUUGCGGCUCAACCGUAAAAUUGCAGUUGAAAAUGGCAGUCUUGAGUACAGUAGAGGUGAGGGGAAUUCGUGGUGUAGCGGUGAAAUGCUUAGAUAUCAGGAAGAACUCCGAUGGCGAAGGCAGCUUACUGGACUGCAACUGACACUGAUGCUCGAAAGUGUGGGUAUCAAACAGGAUUAGAUACCCCAGUAGUC